This is a non-coding RNA of Pelobates cultripes (western spadefoot toad), 238 nucleotides long. The record is from the annotation of a GenBank genome assembly. NCBI's taxonomy places the organism in Eukaryota, Metazoa, Chordata, Amphibia, Anura, Pelobatidae.
CCUAUAUAUCAAGUUGAAAAACUGACAUGUACAAGUUCUGAUUGUUGCCUUUUGGCCCCCAAACAACCCAGCAACCCUAUGCAUAGGGGGUAUCACUGUACUCGGGAGAUGUUGCUGAACAUAUUGGGGUGUUGUUUGGCAGUGACACAUAACAUGAUCUGUUAAUUCAUGCCUAAAGUACAAUGUGUGUAAAAAAAACAGAAAACAAAUUACCAGGGGCGUACCUAGAGCAUUUGGC